RNAcentral lists this ribosomal RNA (429 nucleotides) under Bacteroidota bacterium. Its description in RNAcentral is "Bacteroidetes bacterium partial 16S ribosomal RNA". It matches the Rfam family "Bacterial small subunit ribosomal RNA", at positions 355 to 776 of the family's 1533-position model. Lineage: Bacteria; Pseudomonadati; Bacteroidota. The record is from RNAcentral.
UAGGGAAUCUUCGGCAAUGGGGGGAACCCUGACCGAGCAACGCCGCGUGAGUGAAGAAGGUUUUCGGAUCGUAAAGCUCUGUUGUUAAGGAAGAACGAGUGUGAGAAUGGAAAGUUCAUACUGUGACGGUACUUAACCAGAAAGGGACGGCUAACUACGUGCCAGCAGCCGCGGUAAUACGUAGGUCCCGAGCGUUGUCCGGAUUUAUUGGGCGUAAAGCGAGCGCAGGCGGUUAGAUAAGUCUGAAGUUAAAGGCAGUGGCUCAACCAUUGUAGGCUUUGGAAACUGUUUAACUUGAGUGCAGAAGGGGAGAGUGGAAUUCCAUGUGCAGCGGUGAAAUGCGUAGAUAUAUGGAGGAACACCGGUGGCGAAAGCGGCUCUCUGGUCUGUAACUGACGCUGAGGCUCGAAAGCGUGGGGAGCGAACAGG